This 80-nucleotide transfer RNA is filed under the name Escherichia coli. RNAcentral's name for it is "tRNA-OTHER". It matches the Rfam family "tRNA". From Rfam's summary of the family: Transfer RNA (tRNA) molecules are approximately 80 nucleotides in length. Their secondary structure includes four short double-helical elements and three loops (D, anti-codon, and T loops). Lineage: Bacteria; Pseudomonadati; Pseudomonadota; Gammaproteobacteria; Enterobacterales; Enterobacteriaceae. The record is from RNAcentral.
CGCGGGGUGGAGCAGCCCGUAGCUCGUCGGGCCUCAUAACCCGAAGGUCGUCGUCGGUUCAAAUCCGGCCCCCGCAACCA